RNAcentral lists this ribosomal RNA (1019 nucleotides) under Escherichia coli. Its description in RNAcentral is "bacterial SSU rRNA". It matches the Rfam family "Bacterial small subunit ribosomal RNA", at positions 445 to 1457 of the family's 1533-position model. Lineage: Bacteria; Pseudomonadati; Pseudomonadota; Gammaproteobacteria; Enterobacterales; Enterobacteriaceae. The record is from RNAcentral.
GAGUAAAGUUAAUACCUUUGCCUCAUUUGACCGUUACCCCGCAGAAGAAGCACCGGCUAACUCCCGUGCCAGCAGCCGCGGUAAUACCGGAGGGUGCAAGCGUUAAUCGGAAUUACUGGGCGUAAAGCGCACGCAGGCCGGUUUUGUUAAGUCAGAUGUGAAAUCCCCGGGCUCAACCUGGGAACUGCAUCUGAUACUGGCAAGCUUGAGUCUCGUAGAGGGGGGUAGAAUUCCCAGGUGUAGCGGUGAAAUGCGUAGAGAUCUGGAGGAAUACCGGUGGCGAAGGCGGCCCCCUGGACGAAGACUGACGCUCAGGUGCGAAAGCGUGGGGAGCAAACAGGAUUAGAUACCCUGGUAGUCCACGCCGUAAACGAUGUCGACUUGGAGGUUGUGCCCUUGAGGCGUGGCUUCCGGAGCUAACGCGUUAAGUCGACCGCCUGGGGAGUACGGCCGCAAGGUUAAAACUCAAAUGAAUUGACGGGGGCCCGCACAAGCGGUGGAGCAUGUGGUUUAAUUCGAUGCAACGCGAAGAACCUUACCUGGUCUUGACAUCCACGGAAGUUUCCAGAGAUGAGAAUGUGCCUUCGGGAACCGUGAGACAGGUGCUGCAUGGCUGUCGUCAGCUCGUGUUGUGAAAUGUUGGGUUAAGUCCCGCAACGAGCGCAACCCUUAUCCUUUGUUGCCAGCGGUCCGGCCGGGAACUCAAAGGAGACUGCCAGUGAUAAACUGGAGGAAGGUGGGGAUGACGUCAAGUCAUCAUGGCCCUUACGACCAGGGCUACACACGUGCUACAAUGGCGCAUACAAAGAGAAGCGACCUCGCGAGAGCAAGCGGACCUCAUAAAGUGCGUCGUAGUCCGGAUUGGAGUCUGCAACUCGACUCCAUGAAGUCGGAAUCGCUAGUAAUCGUGGAUCAGAAUGCCACGGUGAAUACGUUCCCGGGCCUUGUACACACCGCCCGUCACACCAUGGGAGUGGGUUGCAAAAGAAGUAGGUAGCUUAACAUCUGGAGGGCGCUAC